GACGAACGCUGGCGGCGUGCCUAACACAUGCAAGUCGAGCGGGGUUGAAGCGAGGGGUAACUCGAGUUUCUACCUAGCGGCGGACGGGUGAGUAACGCGUGGGCAACCUGCCUCAAGGACUGGGAUAACAGCUCGAAAGGGCUGCUAAUACCGGAUAAGCCUAUGGCCUCGCAUGGGGCCAUGAGCAAAGGGGAAACCCGCCUUGAGAUGGGCCCGCGUCCCAUCAGCUAGUUGGUGAGGUGAAGGCUCACCAAGGCGACGACGGGUAGCCGGCCUGAGAGGGUGACCGGCCACACUGGGACUGAGACACGGCCCAGACUCCUACGGGGGGCAGCAGUGGGGAAUCUUGCACAAUGGGCGAAAGCCUGAUGCAGCGACGCCGCGUGAGCGAAGAAGGCCUUCGGUUGUAAGCUCUGUCUGGAGGGACGAAGGAAGUAGACGGUACCUCCGGAGGAGCCACGGCUAACUACGUGCCAGCAGCCGCGGUAAACGUAGACGUG
RNAcentral lists this ribosomal RNA (500 nucleotides) under uncultured bacterium. RNAcentral's name for it is "bacterial SSU rRNA". It matches the Rfam family "Bacterial small subunit ribosomal RNA", at positions 28 to 533 of the family's 1533-position model. The record is from RNAcentral.